Molecule: ribosomal RNA, 251 nt
Filed under: uncultured prokaryote
Description: partial 16S rRNA
Rfam family: Bacterial small subunit ribosomal RNA
Source: RNAcentral
ACGGAGGAUCCAAGCGUUAUCCGGAUUCACUGGGUUUAAAGGGUGCGUAGGCGGAUUGAUAAGUCAGUGGUGAAAUCCUGCAGCUUAACUGCAGAACUGCCAUUGAUACUGUUAGUCUUGAAUUUGAUUGAAGUGGCUGGAAUGUGUCAUGUAGCGGUGAAAUGCUUAGAUAUGACACAGAACACCGACAGCGAAGGCAGGUCACUAAGUCAACAUUGACGCUGAGGCACGAAAGCGUGGGGAUCAAACAG